GUUCGGCAAUUUGGAAUCCUAGCCCGACCCCUCUUCAAUCUCCUCAAGAAGGGAACACCGUUCGUCUGGACAGAUAACACAGAGCAAAGUUUCCAGGUUCUCAAACAGAGUUUGGUCACAGCACCGGUGCUUGCCCUGCCAAACUUUCAGAAGCAGUUCACGGUAGAAACAGAUGCAUGUGGUACAGGUAUUGGAGCAAUUUUGCAGCAAGAAGGACACCCCAUCGCCUUCAUGAGCAAAGCCCUCUGCCCCAAGUACCAGAGCCUAUCCACAUACGAGAAAGAAUACUUGGCAGUGAUCGCUGCAGUCGAUCAAUGGCGACCAUACUUGCAAUCUGCAGAAUUCAUCAUCAAGACAGAUCACCGCAGCUUGGUUUAUUUGCAGGAGCAGAGGCUCACGACCCCUUGGCAACAACGAGCUUUCACCAAGUUGUUGGGCUUGCAAUACAAGAUCGUCUGUAAGAAGGGCGUGGAAAAUGGAGCCGCAGAUGCACUAUCUCGCCUACACCACUCAGAACACGCCAUGGUGAUCUCCAGCUGCCAGCCAGCAUGGCUCGAUGAUAUCGUGUCAAGUUACAACUCCAACCCCCAAGCACAGCGUCUGUUGGAACAGUUGGCAAUCAGACCAGACCCAAAAGGGCGUUUCAGCUUGUCGCAAGGGCUUCUACGUUUUAGAGACUGUAUUUGGCUCGGAGGGAGCACCGCGCUGCAGCAGCAGAUCAUCUCGGCGUUCCAUGACAGCCCAGUGGGAGGACAUUCAGGAUUUCCAGCCACAUACAAGCGAAUCAGGCGCUUGUUUGCUUGGCCCAAAAUGAAGGCUCACAUUCUUCAGUAUGUGCAAUGCUGCGAAAUCUGUCAACAAGCUAAAGCAGAGCGAGUGGCUUCACCAGGAAUGCUCCACCCGCUUCCUAUUCCCAUCAAAUCAUGGGAUAUGAUCACGAUGGAUUUCAUCGAUGGUCUCCCGCAAUUAGGUCAGUACAAUUGCAUCUGGGUUUUGGUCGACAAGAUGACCAAGUUUGCUCAUUUCUUGCCACUUGCCCAUCCUUAUACUGCUUCUCGCGUUGCUCUCCUCUACAUG
RNAcentral lists this ribosomal RNA (1077 nucleotides) under Triticum aestivum (bread wheat). Its description in RNAcentral is "partial small subunit ribosomal RNA". Lineage: Eukaryota; Viridiplantae; Streptophyta; Magnoliopsida; Poales; Poaceae. The record is from RNAcentral.